RNAcentral lists this long non-coding RNA (476 nucleotides) under Bos taurus (domestic cattle). RNAcentral's name for it is "long non-coding RNA NONBTAT017125". Lineage: Eukaryota; Metazoa; Chordata; Mammalia; Artiodactyla; Bovidae. The record is from RNAcentral.
UUAAAAUGCAGUGGAGCUUCUGAGGCAAGAAUUGAUGAGAUGAUUUGAGGAAGUGCUUGCUGUGCUUUCUCAUAUGCCUCUCAUGGUCAUUUUUGUCUGUUUUAUUACAGUAGCAUCAUCUGUGCAUGGAAGCCCAGCUUUCAUAGUUCUGGUUACAUUUAUGCAGCACAGUUCUUUAUUUAAAUCUAAAAAAUAUCUUCAUGUCCAUCACAUGCUGCCCUGGCAUUGUCCAGGAGUGUGCCCUGGUCUUCCUGCCAGUGCCUGCCUGAUAGACUGUUACAGACAUGUUCUAAAGGAGGGGCUUUCCCUGUGUUUUUUUUGAGGGCCGCAUCUAAGACCGUCUUGGAUUCUAAUCAUCCACUGCUAGAGAUGAGACAACCUAAAUGCUGGGAAUGAGACAUCAAACUUUAGCAGACAUAGGGCUGAAACCAUGUCACUGUGACACACACAAGUCGUAAUGUGUAGCCACCCUUCCC